AAUGAACGCUGGCGGCAGGCCUAACACAUGCAAGUCGAACGGAUCCUUCGGGAUUAGUAGCGGACGGGUGAGUAACGCGUGGGAAUCUGCCCUUGGGUUCGGAAUAACAGUUAGAAAUGACUGCUAAUACCGGAUGAUGUCUUCGGACCAAAGAUUUAUCGCCCAAGGAUGAGCCCGCGUAGGAUUAGGUAGUUGGUGGGGUAAUGGCCCACCAAGCCGACGAUCCUUAGCUGGUCUGAGAGGAUGAUCAGCCACACUGGGACUGAGACACGGUCCAAACUCCUACGGGAGGCAGCAGUGGGGAAUAUUGGACAAUGGGCGAAAGCCUGAUCCAGCAAUGCCGCGUGAGUGAUGAAGGCCUUAGUGUUGUAAAGCUCUUUUACCAGGGAUGAUAAUGACAGUACCUGGAGAAUAAGCUCCGGCUAACUCCGUGCCAGCCGCCGCAGUAA
RNAcentral lists this ribosomal RNA (449 nucleotides) under uncultured bacterium. Its description in RNAcentral is "partial 16S ribosomal RNA". It matches the Rfam family "Bacterial small subunit ribosomal RNA", at positions 29 to 523 of the family's 1533-position model. The record is from RNAcentral.